Non-coding RNA from Nothobranchius furzeri (turquoise killifish), 7329 nucleotides. The record is from RefSeq and is a predicted model, not a curated record. Lineage: Eukaryota; Metazoa; Chordata; Actinopteri; Cyprinodontiformes; Nothobranchiidae.
AACACCUGGAGACACACACACACACACACACACACACACACACACACACACACACACACACACACACACACACACACACACACACACACACACACGUUUGUGGAACACAUAAGGAAGACUGAGAGUGUGCUCUUUUUUAAAUUACGUGUCAUUUCCUUCAAAUGAGCCAAAUGUGUUUUUUGGUUAAGUUUUAAAGGUCUCUCUGAGCCAAAGUAUUUCCGAACAUAUUUCAAAGUUUAGCAGCAUCUUUUCUUUUGUCAGUGCCAUCAUAUUAACAGACUACUUGGCAGACAAAAACCUGAUUAGAAAAGAGAAGAAUUUCAGUGUGUGCAAAAUUAAAAAGUAAAAAGACAAAAACAAAGUUCUUAUCUAAAGGGGAAAAGCAACAUCUGAAAGCAAAGUCAUUAGAAAAUCAUUUUAAACUAUCAACAAAAGAUCAGACAAGAGACAGAGAUGGAUCCUCCUGUGUGUGUUCCAUCAACUUGACAACACCUUUUGAGAUACGUGUUUGGAAGUUGUCUUCUUGGCGAUGAAAAUAUUAACCUUUUCUGGGUUCAUAUACACAACAAAGAAGCCCAACAUGAGUAUUUUAACACGUUUCACACAGAUUUUUGCUGUUUUGUUUGUACUUUUCAGAGGACCCAAUUUUACUUAAUAAAUGGAAUUCUGAAAGAUAAAAACUGGAAAUAGGAGAAAAAUAAGCUUUGAAAUAGAUUUAAGGUGGAACACUUGUUUAAGCAAUACAUUUGAAGUGGUCUCUAAUAAGAAUGGAUGGCUUGAAAGCUGUACUCUGAGGGAAUAAUUACUGAUUAACCAGUUUCAGGAACUAGAAGUGAGCCACAUCAGAGCUGAGCUUCAGACGGCAGGAUUUAGUCUUAUUUCCUAUAUUUGAUAUUUGGACAUCUCAUCUCAGAUUGGAUAACAGCAACACGACUCUAUCAUGACUUGCAGCAAAGAAGAUGUUUUAUCUUCGCAACUAACACAAGCUUGGAUGAGUUCUGCUGUGUGAUGGAUUUGCUAACGCUAACAGUUAGCUUCUACUACCAGAGACGUUCUCGUUUUUCUGGACGCUAAACCAAAAACAGCCUUCCCUGUCUUGAGUGAAGAUGGGUAAGUCCAUGAAUGUUCAGUGACAGUGUGACGUAGAUCUGUCAACAUUUUCAAAUCCUAGAGUUUCACCAUCUAUUUUCUUUCAGAAGCUAAUGCAGGAAAUAGGUGUAGGUAGGGAUGAGUACCUUUGACAUUUGAAUCGAUUCGGUACUAAUUCCCGGUACCUACGAAUCGAUACCAGUACUUAACGGUACCAAUUUUCGAUACUUUUGAGUCUUUAAUAUUUUUAAUUCUCUUUUAUAAUUAGAUAUAUAUUUUUCUCAAUAUAUAACAAUAUUUGAUAAAUAUCACGACAAAUAACAUUCAACUGUUUGUAUUUUAACAUCGUCCUUGUAGUUUUAUAAGCUGAUAAUUAAACUGAAGCAAACAUCUUUACUGUGAACUAAAUUUACUGUGUAUCUUCAUUCCUUUUGCCGUCCUUUUUCAAUUGAUUUUUCCUACUGGGAAGUUAGAAUUUCCGAGGAGAAAGCGAACGCACCAUUAGAUGAUAACAAUGGUGGCAUAGGAAGCUAACAUAUCAAGCUACGUUAUCUUAAACAGUCUAUUUAACUGCUGGAGCAGAUUAAAACGAUGAUGCCUCACACUUAAAUCGUUGUCACUGGUUUCAUCUUCACCCAAUCACCCGUCGCAUUUAGUAAAGUGAAGCCAAACUUUAGAGCGCGUUCAUGUUCCUCUAGUCGGAAUUUCGGAGUUCCGAGGAGAAAGCGAACGCACCAUUAGUAUAAACGGAAGCUAACAAAUCAAGCUAAUGUUAUCUUAAACAUUUUAUCUACCUACCGGAGCUGCUCUGUUUACAACUGGCUCGCAGCGACCGAUGACAUAACACUCUUGCGCAUGCGCAGCUGUCUAGGCAAGUUCUCGUUGUGAAGGACGGGUACCGAAACGAGGCACCGUUUCAAAUGAAGUGAAUCGGUGCUCGGUCGGUACUGUGGAAUUCGGUCGGUACCUUAAAAAGUACAGAAUUCGGUACCCAUCCCUAGGUGUAGGAGAAUGUUUUCAUGUUCAACCAACAUGACAAACUCAAGAGUGACUGAUUACAAUCAGAAAUAAUAAAUAAAAAUGGUUUUUCAGUGAACCACACCGUUAAAGUGGAUUUUAUAGGCUCUACCAGUAAAACUACCAAUCAAGACUGAGACAAUAAUAAAGAAAAUGAACUAAAGUUUCCUUUAUAUCUUUCUGCAUGGUACAUCAUUUUAACCUGGCCUGGAUAGUUUGUAGCUACAAUGAGGAACAUAAGUAUUUGAACACCUUGCAAUUUUGCAAGUUCUCCCACUUAGAAAUCAUGGAGGGGUCUGAAAUUGUAGGUGCAUUCCCACUGUGAGAGACAGAAUGUAAAAAAAUUAAAAUAAAUCAGGAAAUCACAUUGUAUGAUUUGUAAAGAAUUUUUUGUUUUGCACUGCUGGACAUAAGUAUUUGAACAUCUGGCAAUCAGCAAGAAUUCUGGCUCUCAAAGACCUGUUACUCUGCCUUUAAGAAGUCCACCUCUACUCCACUUAGUAAUCUUAAUUAGUAGCACCUGUCUGAGCUCUUUAAAGACACCCCACAGUCAGUCAGACUCCAACUACUACCAUGGGCAAGACCAAGGAGCUGUCAAAAGAAACCAGAGACAAAAUUGUGGACCUCCACAAAACUGGAAAGAGCUACGGGGAAAUUGCCAAGCAGCUUAGUGAAAAUAGACCAACUGUUGGAGCAAUUGUCAGAAAAUGGAAGAGGCUAAAGACGACUGUCGGUCUCCCUCGGACUGGGGCUCCAUGCAAGAUCUCAUCUCGUGGGGUAUCACUGAUAAGAAAGGUGAGGAAUCAGCCCAGAACUACACGGGAGGAGCUGGUCAAUGACUUGAAGAGAGCUGGGACCACAGUUUCAAAGGUCACUGUUGGUAGAACACUAUGCCGUCAUGGUUUCAAAUCACGCAUUGCACAAAAGGUUCCCCUGCUCAAGUCAUCACAUGUCCAAGCCCGUCUGCAGUUUGCCAAUGACCAUCUGGAUGAUCCAGAGGAGGCAUGAGAGAAAGUCAUGUGGUCAGAUGAGAGACCAAAGUAGAACUUUUUGGUCUAAACUUUACUUGCCAUGUUUGGAGGAAAAAGAAAGAGGAGUUGCAUCCAAAGAACACCUUCCCUACUGUGAAGCAUGGGGAAGGAAACAUCAUGUUUGGGGGAACUUUUCUGCGAAGGGACAGGACGACUGCACUGUAUUAAGGAGAGGAUGAAUGGGGCCAUGUAUCGUGACAUUUUGAGCAACAACCUUCUUCCCUCAGUCAGAGCAUUGAAGAUGGGUCGUGGCUGGGUCUUCCAACACGACAAUGACCCAAAGCACACAGCCAGGAUAACCAAGGAGUGGCUCCAUAAGAAGCAUAUCAAGGUUCUGGAGUGGCCUAGCCAGUCUCCAGACCUAAAUCCAAUCAAAAAUCUUUGGAGGGAGCUGAAACUCCAUGUUGCUCAGCACCAGCCCCAGAACCUGACAGAUCUAGAGAAGAUCUGUGCGGAGGAGUGGGCCAAAAUCCCUGUUGCAGUAUGUGCAAACCUGGUCAAGAACUACAGGAAACGUUUGAUCUCUGUAAUUGCAAACAAAGGCUUCUGUACCAAAUAUUAAUACUGAUUUUCUCAGGUGUUCAAAUAUUUAUGUGCAGCAGUGCAAAACAAAAAAAUUCUUUACAAAUCAUACAAUGUGAUUUCCUGAUAUAUAUAUUUUUUAACAUUCUGUCUCUCAUAGUGGGAAUGCACCUACAAUGUGAAUUUCAGACCCCUCCAUGAUUUCUAAGUGGGAGAACUUGCAAAAUCGCAAGGUGUUCAAAUACUUAUGUUCCUCACUGUAUACUAACAAUGAAAUAACGCUUUAAUACUUUUAUUUAAAACAUAAUUACAUUAAGAGAUGUCCAGGGACAGGAUUACCAGAAGCUACUUCCCAUCUUUAAUUCUAAUCCAGCUGUAAAUCUGUUUCCAUACAGACAAAUUAAAUAGUUUGCCGUGAUUUUAAACUACAGUCACGGGCAUGAAGACAGCCGGUGUCUUAGAUCACAGACUCUUGCCAAAUGUGCAUACAUCAAAUUAGUGUUUGUGUUAUCUCUCAACAAUAUUUGGCCGAAUAAUCCUGUGUUUUUCUUUUUUCAUUAUCUGAAACAUUUUAUAAACAUUUAUAUAAAAUUAUCAAAAAUAAAAACCAGAAGAUGGCACAUGAGUUAGAGCUUCAUUUUUGAGGCCGAUUAUGGUAAUUAUGCCACAUCACAGUCUUAUUAUGGCUUUAGAGGUCAUAACACUUAACCUCCCAGCUGAUGUGGGAAUACUCAGAUAAGAAUAACUUGAACAGACUUUCUAUUUAAUUCAGCUAUAAAAAACACAAUGGACAGUUACAGAAUAUGAAUUUACUCAUUUGCAUUGACACGUUUCCUGUUAAACUCAAAGUAUCAGUUUGAUCCAGAGGCAUAAGGGCUCUGACAACAUCAGUGAAACGCUUGUUUGAAUAAAAAGCUCCAAGAGCUCUCCCAGAGAGAGCAGCGUCUCCGUCACUGGGCUGCAGAAUGCAAACGACGCCAAUGAGCAACUCUUCGCUGGAAUACGAAUGAAACUUUAGAUCAAAUGAGUUUUGUAGAACUAAAUUAAAUUGCUAAAAGUAAUAGAAGUCAUUUUUUGUCUGAUGACCAAUUAGAUUUCAGUUUUUGAUGAGUCAGCACACUGAUGCUUUUCUAUUCAUAAACUAAACUGAUGGCUGGUAUUUUAGGUAAGAAGCUGUCAUAUUAAAUUAAUAUUUGCUGAAUUUUAUUCAUGUUCCUACCAUUCAAGUGUGAAAAUCCUAUAACACUAAAUAAUGUAAAGAAAGCUGACCUGAGUGGCUUCUGUGUACUCGGUAGCAAGCAUGUUUGGGUUACACUGUCCCCUAUAGAGCUCCAGACGUCACGUGACUCUCAGAGAGUAGACGCCAUGUUGGCAGGUAACAAAGGUAAACAAAAUGAACAGGAUCGGCUUGGAUUUAACUCCGUCGGAGUUUACUUCACACUUUAAAACCGAAGAAAUCGUUUUAUAUAGUCAGAAAUUAAAUAGACUAAACAUCUCCGACCCUUACCGUGACCCUGGGAUACAUUUUAAAAACGCUAGAAGCUGUCGGAGCGGACCUGGCCAGGGAACGCCUUGGGAUUCCCCCGGAGGAGCUGGCCCAAGUGGCUGGGGAGAGGGAAGUCUUCCCGCACACCUUUGUUACUCCAGAUAAUUUAAGAAAAACUGCUAAUUAGCAUCUAUAGGUAAAGACUAUGGCUGUGUCUCAAUUCAGGGUCUGCAUCCUACGUCGGCCGGAUUCGUCGGCCGGUUACGUCACAGCGCCGCGACUAGGCCUGUCCCAAUUCGAAGACUCCUUCAAAUGUGGUCGACGAAUGCGGCCUUCUUUUCGCCUGAAUGAAGGAUGGGUCCGGUGUAUCCUUCAAUAGGUAGCAUUUCCCAAGAUGCCUUGCGGGCCGGCCGGCAGAAAAACUUAAAAACAAUGGCGGACAGUGAAGCGGGAGGUGUCGGAGAGGAUUGCGCAUAUAAAUGAACAAAAGAGAAAACCAGGGAAUUUAUUAAGCUUCGGGCGGAGAUGGACCACAUGAUCACCGGAGCAAAGUAUUCGGCGGCUGUGGCAUGGAGACUAUUCUGGAGAAAAUGGGCAUCCAGGGGAAGGUGCCAGCGAUGAGCUUCUGGAGCUGAUCUGGGAGGACAUGAGGCUGCAGAGGGAGGCAGAGCAGCAGAGGGCCCAGGAGAGAAGGACGAACUUUGACAGCUUUUUACUUUGCUAGAAAAAAAUGGUUAAUAAAGAUUAAACAUGUACAUAUAAAAGAAAUAUCUAAAUAAAAUCUGUUCUGCAUUAAACUCUUGAAUUUUAUUUUUGUUUACAAAUGAGAAUUGUUUACUAGAGGGUAUCCGCUGGGUCUUGAAAAGUCUUAAAAGGUGAUAAAUCGGUUUUGGUCAAAUUAAGACCCUUAGAAAGUAUUAAAAACUAUUAUCACAUCUUUGCUCAGGCUCAGCUUGUCUAACGUAUUUUCUCUGAAUUAGCUCUCCAACAGUCAAGGAAAUGAUUAACCCCCAGAGACCCACGGUUGUAAUAUUACAACAUCAGAUUUAAGUCUACAAAAAUAAACCUUCCCCAUUUUUUUUCUUUUUAAAACCACAUUUACAUUGCUAAUAGGUCUUAUUGUUCAGUUCUGCAACACUGUUGGCUGUUAAAAUGUGUAAAUAGGCCCGUUUAUCUGGCCUCCUAGAACAACAUGUGAAAGGUUAAAAAAAGAUUUUGCAGUUGUUUUCUAAAUUUCGGUUUCUGGGGGUUAAAAAGCUAAAUAAAACGUCGAGCUCCAUCGUUUAAAGUUCCUUCUCCCUUCUGCCCAGCGGUUCCACGGUUGCUAGGCGACGGAACGUUCGCGGAGGGAGUUCAUGAAGGCUAGGCCUGUCCAAAUUCACAGCCGUUAACAUCCGGUCUACCCGGCCGACGGAGGACGCAGCCCACGUCGGCCGGGUGGGCUGGGUCCUUCGAAGGAUGCAGACCCUGAAUUGAGACACAGCCUAUGUCAGCAGCUUCCACCUAAUAGCGAGCUAGUAUCUGAACCAUCCAUUUUUAUCCACUUAUCUGGAGUCGGGUCGCGGGGGCAGUAGCCUAAGGCGAGAGGCCCAGACUUCCCUCUCCCCAGCCACUUGGGCCAGCUCCUCCGGGGGAAUUCCAAGGCAUUCCCUGACCAGGUGAGAGACAUAGUCCCUCCACCGUGUCCUGGGUCUACCUUAAGGUCUCCUCCCGGUUGGACGUGCCCGGAAAACCUCACCAGGGAGGCGUCCAGGAGGCAUCCUGACCAGAUGCCCGAGCCACCUCAACUGGCUCCUCUCGAUGUGGAGGAGCAGCGGGUCUACUCCGAGCCCCUCCUGAAUGACCAAGUUUCUCACCCUAUCUCUAAGGGAGAGCCCAGCCACUCUUCAGAGAAAACUCAUUUCGGCUGCUUGUAUCUGCGAUCUUGUUCUUUCGAUCACUACCCAAAGCUCAUGACCAUAGGUGAGGGUAGGAACGUAAAUCGACCGGUAAAUGGAGAGCUUCGCCUUCUGACUCAGCUCUCUCUUCACCACGACAGACCGGUACAACGCCUGCAUCACUGCAGAUGCAGCACCAAUCCGCCGAUCUAUCUCACGCUCCAGUUUUCCCUCACUCAUGAACAAGACCCCGAGAUACUUAAACUCCUCCACUUGGGGCAGGACCUCAUCCCUGACCCGGAGAAGG